AAGCAGUGAAUAGAAUGGGAAAAACAGGGUUACUGUGAAAAUCCUUCUGUCUUACCGUUUGGCAUAGGUUAAAGACAGCCCUAUGGGAGCUAGACUAUCCAUCUCAUCAUGUUCCUGCCUAUCACUGGCCUGCCUUCCAGCUGACAGCAACAAGGAGUUACCUCCCGGUGAAAAGUACUUUGGUUGACUAUGAGAAACAGAAGGAGGAGUGGCUGUGGUUUCUUUCUAUACCUGCAGGUGGUCAAUCAUUAUCAAACCAAGCCACAAAUUCAAUUAAUCUGUUGUGAUGCCAAAACCUGUGGUCCUGGCAAAAUGUAUCAUGCAGCAUAUCUAGGAUUAAAUCUAAGCCCAUUGCUUAGCACUGAGAUGAGACAGAGGCUGGAGGUGUGUAGGCAAUGACUGGCAGUCUCCCUUUCCGGCCCAAGAGACCUGUGGUGUUUCAGAGUGGAAGCUGUAGGUCGGUAAGUCUCCCUCAGUUUUCUGUCCUUAGACUUAAAGUGAAAGUAAACAAACCUUGGUGACUUCGCAUUUAGAUAGUGCUGAAAUUUUACCAGUGUGUUAUUCCUCUGACUAGAAUCCCC
Molecule: long non-coding RNA, 581 nt
Filed under: Struthio camelus australis
Lineage: Eukaryota; Metazoa; Chordata; Aves; Struthioniformes; Struthionidae
Description: lncRNA (ENSSCUG00000007284.1)
Source: RNAcentral